Molecule: long non-coding RNA, 2873 nt
Organism: Mytilus trossulus (common blue mussel)
Lineage: Eukaryota; Metazoa; Mollusca; Bivalvia; Mytilida; Mytilidae
Exons: 3
Source: RefSeq, a predicted model, not a curated record
GAAUGCUCAACAAUGCACUAAUCUGGGACAAUAAGAAUAAACGGUAAAAAUAUGGUUCUUUUGGCUUUACACACUAGAUUUGUACGAGGCACAUUAAAAACUAAUAUAGAAAGUAGACACAAAUGUUUUUUUAACUGAAGUAUUAUUAAUAUUCACAGACCAAUUGAUUUUCAUGGGGUGGAGCCAUGGAUUUUAUAUGAAGCUAGAUUUUUAAACAAGACAAAAUUUUGUUUUUUACAUCAUUCAUAUCCUAUUUGCCAAAAAUAAAUCCAGAAUAUUUUUUUUGUAACUGAAUAUGUAGGUUAGAUUAUUUGUAAACAUUAUAGAUCAGCUUUGGGUUUGUCCAUAAGGAUUGAGACUGGAAAUGGCAAUUAGAUCAGACUUUUAAAGUAAGUUUUAAUCAUUACAUAGAUUUUUGAAUUUCUGAAUUCAAAUAAUGUAAAAUGUGAAUUUGUGUUGGGUAUAAUGUUUUUGACCUGUCUGUCCUGUUUGUCAACAUUGUUCUUGUCAUUGCAACUCCUCUGAAAGCACACAACAGAAUUUCAUAAAACAUAAACUAUGUAGUUGUGCAUGUUUACAAGAAAUUAUGAUUCACUUUUUUCUAUGAGUUAUGCUAUGCCCCUCUGAACUUAAAAUUUUGGCCUAUACUUUUGCAACAGUUUCACUACAAGUCCUCUAAAACUGCACGACAGAAUUACAUGGUUCUUUGAAGUUAAUGAGGACAGUAUGGCAUAUCCAGAAGAAAUCUUUAUCAGUUGACUUUUUUACAAGCACAAUGGAUUUGUUUAACAAGUAUGUGUUAUAAGUAAAAUUGAGAAUGGAAAUGGGGAAUGUGUCAAAGAGACAACAACCCGACCAUAGAAAAAACAACAGCAGAAGGUCACCAAUAGGUCUUCAAUGUAGCGAGAAAUUCCCACACCCGGAGGCGUCCUUCAGCUGGCCCCUAAACAAAUAUAUACUAGUUCAGUGAUAAUGAACGCCAUAUACUAAUUUCAAAACUGUUUUGAGAAAAAUAUCUAUAGUGUUUGGAUUGAACUGUAAAAGGAAUAUUUCAUACAAGUAUAUUGCUUUUAUUAUUUGUUUAUAGGCUGUCAGAUGUGAGGACUGAUUCCAUGGUGUUAGAAGUAAGAAUUGGCGAUAUGAUACUGCUAACAUAUUGGUUAGCAUCACAGCUUGUCCUUUUGAAUACUGGCUGGAGUAGAAUUUGGAUCUUUUUGAGGUGCCCUUGUGUGGUCAAUCCAAUAGAAAAUAACAAUCAUGCAGACCAGAUAUAUAUUGCUCUUUUGUGUUUAAUAAAAUCUUUAAAUGGUAAUUCUGAAAGCCAAAUGAUUCAUUUUUUUAUGCUGUUAUUUUUUCUAUUUACUGUAAAUUAACAAAUUUUUGCUUUGAAUACUGUUAUUCAUUUGGCUCAAAUGUAGUAUACAGAUAUUUAGUUCCAGCUUUUGAUGUGUAUUCCUUUGCAAAUAAAAAACUUGUAUGACAGUUAUAAAAAAAAGCUAAUUUAUACUUAUCAUUUUGGAAAAUUAUAAUUGUAAUGGUUGACAAUUUGAUAGAAUAAAAAAGUCUUUUAUGGUUGACUGUAAGCUAAUUUUUGCAGAAAUUAUGGGCUUUGGACUUUGAGAUUUUUUUCUGUAAGCCUCCAGAUUUUGAGCUUAUUUUUAAUAUGUGAGAAUACCAUCAGGUUUAUGUCCACAUGUGUUAUUGAAAUUGCAGAUUUUCCAACUUUUUGGGACGCCAUCUAGUUUUUUAAUAGUUUUUGAGGACUUUUAAAACUUGUCAAUGAUAAAGCUAUGAAAAGUCAAGAGAGAACAUUUUCCUGACAAAAUUUCAAUGGCUAAUAUAUCAAACGAGCAUGGUGACCUUCUUUUUUUGCUCUUUGGAUUCCUUUAUUAAUCCUCAAUCAAUGUAAACUAAGUCUUUUGAAAAGUAAAUUAUUUUGAAACAGAGAAGCAAACUCCCUAAAUCUCUUUCUUUUUGAUCUCACUAAGUAACAAAAUAUAGAGCACUUAAUUGCACAUUAAUAGAGCAUUUCCUUAACCCUUAAACUCACUAUCAUCCUUUACUUUAACCCUCAACCUACCCUUAAUCUAACCCUUAAGGAAGUUUGCUGCUCAGUUUGAGAACAAGUAACUUUCCAUAGAACUAGUAUAUUGAUAAGGGAUUAAUUGAGGAAUCAAAAAAGCAAAAAAAUAUAGAUGUCAAUGUGCUUGUUUUUUUAUGAAUUAAAAAAAAGAUGUGUAUGUGUUGAACUUGAUUAAAAAAAUUCCAAAUUAUUACAGGGUAACAGAAAAUGGGAUCAAUGUUUAUUAAAACAAAUCUGUUAAAAGGAAAAAAAAAGUCAAAAGUUGUAUUUUUCAAAAUAAUUGUGUUAAUAUUUCUGUGAUAUUUAGAAAUAUGUGCACCAAAAAAAAUAAUGUUUUUUAUAUAAGUAUCAUUGUGGUAUGCCCUUGUUUAUUUUUUGUUUUGUGCAGUAGAUGCAUUUGAAUCUUGUUCAAAAUCCAUCGAUUGAAUAAACAUGAUAAACUAAUUGUUAUGUUAACACUGUAGCUAGAAUCAUAUUCAAAACAGUGUGGUCCUGGCCACUGAUUGACGACCUAAAUUAUCCCAUUGACUGGGACAGAUUAGGUGAACGUUUGUCGGUAACAAUCACUGCUCACUAUGUACUUGUUGAAGACACUGAAUCUGUGGGGUCACCAAAGGUUCUCAACACCUAAAUAAAGCAAUUCGAAAAACGAAUCAGGAAUAAUACGAUGUGUUGAUUUAUAUCAAUAAUAUAAAUCAAAACAUAAAGGUUAUUCCUGAAUAAUUUUUCGAAUUAUUUUAUUAUUAAAGGCGUAAAGAACCUUUGGUGACCCCACAGUUUAAAUUUUAUA